GGAAGUACUUCCGGUUUAAGGACAAGUGUAGUAAGCACCACAGACGUGUAACACAAAUUCGUGGAACCACGAACCUCUCCAGGGUGGUGUGGGACAUUCAAUCUGCCCAUGCAAGGUCUCUAGAACUGUUUGUGGCUUCACGGCAUUCAACACAGUUUGACAGGAAUAGUUCACAGCCAUCAGAAAAUUGUCAGAUGAUCGUAUUAUUCUCUGCUCAAGAUAAAAACUUUUAUCAUCCCAGUAUACCAACUGAAAAAAAAA
Pomacea canaliculata is the source of this 261-nucleotide long non-coding RNA. RefSeq lists it as uncharacterized. The transcript has 2 exons. The record is from RefSeq and is a predicted model, not a curated record. NCBI's taxonomy places the organism in Eukaryota, Metazoa, Mollusca, Gastropoda, Architaenioglossa, Ampullariidae.